Molecule: ribosomal RNA, 484 nt
Filed under: uncultured bacterium
Lineage: Bacteria
Description: partial 16S ribosomal RNA
Rfam family: Bacterial small subunit ribosomal RNA
Source: RNAcentral
AUUGAACGCUGGCGGAAUGCUUUACACAUGCAAGUCGAGCGGCAGCGCGGCCUUCGGGCUGGCGGCGAGCGGCGAACGGGUGAGUAAUGCAUCGGAACAUGCCCAGUCGCGGGGGAUAACACUUCGAAAGAAGUGCUAAUACCGCAUACGUCCUGAGGGGGUAAGCGGGGGAUCGCAAGACCUCGCGCGAUUGGAGUGGCCGAUGUCAGAUUAGCUAGUUGGUGGGGUAAAGGCCUACCAAGGCGACGAUCUGUAGCUGGUCUGAGAGGAUGAUCAGCCACACUGGGACUGAGACACGGCCCAGACUCCUACGGGAGGCAGCAGUGGGGAAUUUUGGACAAUGGGGGCAACCCUGAUCCAGCCAUUCCGCGUGAGUGAAGAAGGCCUUCGGGUUGUAAAGCUCUUUCGGCAGGAACGAAACGGUGGGCUCUAACAUAGUCCGCUAAUGACGGUACCUAAAGAAGAAGCACCGGCUAACUACGUG